This 255-nucleotide ribosomal RNA is filed under the name uncultured bacterium. Its description in RNAcentral is "partial 16S ribosomal RNA". It matches the Rfam family "Bacterial small subunit ribosomal RNA", at positions 793 to 1055 of the family's 1533-position model. The record is from RNAcentral.
GUCCACGCCGUAAACGAUGGAUACUAGCUGUUGGGGGCAACCUCAGUGGCUAAGCGAAAGUGAUAAGUAUCCCACCUGGGGAGUACGUUCGCAAGAAUGAAACUCAAAGGAAUUGACGGGGGCCCGCACAAGCGGUGGAGCAUGUGGUUUAAUUCGAUGAUACGCGAGGAACCUUACCAAGGCUUAAAUGUAGAUUGACAGAUUUGGAAACAGAUUUUUCUUCGGACAAUUUACAAGGUGCUGCAUGGUUGUCGU